This 1129-nucleotide ribosomal RNA is filed under the name Acinetobacter sp. Its description in RNAcentral is "bacterial SSU rRNA". It matches the Rfam family "Bacterial small subunit ribosomal RNA", at positions 358 to 1485 of the family's 1533-position model. Lineage: Bacteria; Pseudomonadati; Pseudomonadota; Gammaproteobacteria; Moraxellales; Moraxellaceae. The record is from RNAcentral.
GGAUUAAAGUCAUGGGCGCAGCCUGAUCAGCCAUGCCGCGUGUGUGAAGAAGGCCUUUUGGUUGUAAAGCACUUUAAGCGAGGAGGAGGCUACUGGUAUUAAUACUACCGGAUAGUGGACGUUACUCGCAGAAUAAGCACCGGCUAACUCUGUGCCAGCAGCCGCGGUAAUACAGAGGGUGCGAGCGUUAAUCGGAUUUACUGGGCGUAAAGCGUGCGUAGGCGGCUUUUUAAGUCGGAUGUGAAAUCCCUGAGCUUAACUUAGGAAUUGCAUUCGAUACUGGGAAGCUAGAGUAUGGGAGAGGAUGGUAGAAUUCCAGGUGUAGCGGUGAAAUGCGUAGAGAUCUGGAGGAAUACCGAUGGCGAAGGCAGCCAUCUGGCCUAAUACUGACGCUGAGGUACGAAAGCAUGGGGAGCAAACAGGAUUAGAUACCCUGGUAGUCCAUGCCGUAAACGAUGUCUACUAGCCGUUGGGGCCUUUGAGGCUUUAGUGGCGCAGCUAACGCGAUAAGUAGACCGCCUGGGGAGUACGGUCGCAAGACUAAAACUCAAAUGAAUUGACGGGGGCCCGCACAAGCGGUGGAGCAUGUGGUUUAAUUCGAUGCAACGCGAAGAACCUUACCUGGUCUUGACAUAGUAAGAACUUUCCAGAGAUGGAUUGGUGCCUUCGGGAACUUACAUACAGGUGCUGCAUGGCUGUCGUCAGCUCGUGUCGUGAGAUGUUGGGUUAAGUCCCGCAACGAGCGCAACCCUUUUCCUUAUUUGCCAGCGGGUUAAGCCGGGAACUUUAAGGAUACUGCCAGUGACAAACUGGAGGAAGGCGGGGACGACGUCAAGUCAUCAUGGCCCUUACGACCAGGGCUACACACGUGCUACAAUGGUCGGUACAAAGGGUUGCUACCUAGCGAUAGGAUGCUAAUCUCAAAAAGCCGAUCGUAGUCCGGGAUUGCAGUCUGCAACUCGACUCCAUGAAGUCGGAAUCGCUAGUAAUCGCGGAUCAGAAUGCCGCGGUGAAUACGUUCCCAGGCCUUGUACACACCGCUCGUCACACCAUGGGAAUUUGUGCAUCAGAAGUAGUAGUCUAACCGCAAGAGACGCUUACCACGGUGUGGCCGAUGACUGGGGUGAGU